UUAGGUUAAGUUAGGAAGGGCGCAUGGUGGAUGCCUUGGUACUAGGAGCCGAUGAAGGACGGGACUAACACCGAUAUGCCUCGGGGAGCUGUAAGUAAGCUUUGAUCCGGGGAUUUCCGAAUGGGGCAACCCAAUAGUUUUAAUCGACUAUUAUCCGCAUCUGAAUUCAUAGGAUGUGUGAAGGUAAACGUGGGGAACUGAAACAUCUCAGUACCCACAGGAACAGAAAGAAAAUUCGAUUCCCUGAGUAGCGGCGAGCGAAACGGGAACAGCCCAAACCAAGAAGCUUGCUUCUUGGGGUUGUAGGACUGAACAUUUGAGUUACCAAAGAGCUUGAUAGCUGAAGGGCCUGGGAAGGCCAGCCAGAGAGGGUGACAGCCCCGUAAGUUAAAUCAAACUCCCUCAGUUCAGGAUCCUGAGUACGGCGGAGCACGUGAAAUUCCGUCGGAAUCCGGGAGGACCAUCUCCCAAGGCUAAAUACUACCUAGUGACCGAUAGUGAACCAGUACCGUGAGGGAAAGGUGAAAAGCACCCCGGAAGGGGAGUGAAAUAGUUCUUGAAACCAUGUGCCUACAAGAAGUCAGAGCCCGUUAAUGGGUGAUGGCGUGCCUUUUGUAGAAUGAACCGGCGAGUUACGUUCGUAUGCCAGGUUAAGU
This 656-nucleotide ribosomal RNA is filed under the name Pediococcus acidilactici. RNAcentral's name for it is "partial 23S ribosomal RNA". It matches the Rfam family "Bacterial large subunit ribosomal RNA", at positions 1 to 651 of the family's 2925-position model. Lineage: Bacteria; Bacillati; Bacillota; Bacilli; Lactobacillales; Lactobacillaceae. The record is from RNAcentral.